CUAACCAAUCCCUUUCCAUUUUGACUGGCCGUUUAUGUGCAUACGGGAAGCUCAUAUGCAUAUACAGGCCCAUGCUGCUGCAAGACCGGCCCUCUUAAGACUUUCCUCAAGACUGCGUUUGUGUGCACACAGUUCCACGUACUUGCCCAUCAUCAUUUAAAAUGGCUCAUCCUUCAGGACAAAGCAUUGGAGGAAAUUACAAAAGGAUCUGGAUUGUGGGCUCAAGCCUCAUACGUCGUGCUGAACCAAGGGCUGUCCAAACCAUGGGGAGAAACCUGGGGCUCAACGCCACAGUAUCUUGGUUUGGACAGGGAGGCCUGCGCUGGAGCAGUGUACUACCAUUGCUCUACAAACAGCUGUCCACCCAGACACCACCUGACAUACUGGUGGUCCAUGCUGGAGGAAAUGAUUUGGGCAAGGUGAAGACCAUAGAAUUGGUCAAAAGAAUGAAGACAGACCUGAC
Conger conger (European conger) is the source of this 463-nucleotide long non-coding RNA. RefSeq lists it as uncharacterized. The record is from RefSeq and is a predicted model, not a curated record. NCBI's taxonomy places the organism in Eukaryota, Metazoa, Chordata, Actinopteri, Anguilliformes, Congridae. The transcript has 3 exons.